RNAcentral lists this ribosomal RNA (465 nucleotides) under Triticum aestivum (bread wheat). RNAcentral's name for it is "partial small subunit ribosomal RNA". Lineage: Eukaryota; Viridiplantae; Streptophyta; Magnoliopsida; Poales; Poaceae. The record is from RNAcentral.
AUGGAGCGGUCUUUUCAGUUGAAUCCGCAUGCCACUCCUUUCGUGCCUACCUCCAAGUCUCCGUUUGCGGAAAGCUUGAAAGGAAAGAAGGACCCUGAGAAGCAAGUAGAUGAGACUGAAAAUAAUGAGACUGCUGACAAGUCUGCUGGGUAUCUACUCCCAGAGUCCCUUUCUUUUGAUGACUAUGCUGAAAGCCUAGGAAAGAUCAACAUCUCUACUGAGUCAUCAUCAAAAGGAGAAGCUGCUGAAGCAAGUCACGCGGGUAAUCAUCUCGCCGUGGUGGAAUCUCUCUCGCUGAUGUUCCCAGAUGUGUCUGCUGACUUCAUUCUUGAAGCACUGAAGGCCAAUGAAUUUGACGCGGUACUCACCAUUGAUAUGCUUUCCGAUCUGUGCGAAGCUGAUGAUAACGGUCACUCCGCCGAAGUAUCAGAAAAGCCGGAGCACCAUGGCCCUUCGUCCACAUAG